GGGAGAACUUCCUCCCUCACUCCAAGCCAAGAGCAGUUCAGUGUAUGCGAUGAACUAUUAUUGGAUAAGGCUGCACACACACCCCUCAGCAUUUCCUGAUUUUGGACUUCUGCCAGGGUAGAGUUUACUUGAAAAAGAAAGGAUGUAAAGAGAGGAGCUGCUCAACACAGGGGUUGAAUAGUCAGGGAUAUCACGCUGGCGACCAUCCCCCCACGCCACUCCACCCUCCAGCUCUCCCGCACUGUCCGUGUCCGACCUGAUCUAUCUUCGGAAGACCUUUGAAAUAAAGCCUGAAGAUUUUAAACGCAACGCAUCUGAGAAUGAGGAACCUUUAAUGCCCUGGCUUCAGACUCUGCAGAAAAAUAAAAAGGAGCUGGAAGAAGUCCGGAAAUCCCCAGAAUGGAAAGAAUUGAAGUGGAGGGGCACAUGACAGGGGGAGACUUGGGGACAGAAGAGAGUUAGAGGGUUCAGUGUAAGGGCAGUGGGUUGGAGUAAGGGGAGAGGAGUUAGUAAGGCUAUAUAAGACAGGGGGAGGGAGACAUAGGGGCAGUUGGCAUGUGGCCACAGGAGAAGAAGUCCCGCCCGCCCUGGGGAAAGGUUUCCUUGUUACAGCAGAGGUAGCAGGAUAGGGACUUGGAGGCACGUGUGGUAUUUGUGGCAGAUGGAAAGGUGGUCUGUGGUGGGUUGAGGACGGUACCCAACCCUGGUGUAUAGUUCCCUGUGGCCACGGGGCCCCAGGGAGGGUUGUGAGUCUCCGAAAACUGGUGCCCCCGGGUGUGGUGACACACGGCUGGGGGUAAUUUGUAGGCCCUUGAAAUUAAUGGUGCCUUCAAGUCCUUAUCCAGACAGGUAUAAGUUAGAAUGUUGGUAUUUUGUAUUCUGUUAUUUUGGUUGUAUGAUGUUCACACGGGUAGGGUUGUUUCUGUUGACAAUGUUUAAAUUGCUGUGUAAAUAAAAAUGGAUUC
Hyla sarda is the source of this 965-nucleotide long non-coding RNA. RefSeq lists it as uncharacterized. The transcript has 3 exons. NCBI's taxonomy places the organism in Eukaryota, Metazoa, Chordata, Amphibia, Anura, Hylidae. The record is from RefSeq and is a predicted model, not a curated record.